AAAUUUAUUCGCAUUUUCCACAUCACUACACUUUAUGACUUCGUCACCUUCUAGGUGUCGGCCAGCACAACCUGAUUCGGAGUCUUAGUGGACAUUCUGGGUCAGGGUGAUUCAGUUUGGUAUCACAGCAUAAGUUGGGCAAUAUUGCAUCCAUCAUACGCGUGAUGAAAGCAUUCGAGUUUCUUGAGCCUAAUUUUCAAAACUUGCCACCUCGUCGACUACGAAUAAUGUGUUAGUUUUUCCUAAGUUAUAGGCAGUUUUGUCGACUUGUCGACAUUUUAGAAGAUUACUUUGCUGAAUGCUUUUUGACUUAAAGGGAAUAACUUUCCUGCCAAGGAAAGAUGUAGAUUUGAGACUAGUUGAUGGCCCUAACGCAAGAUUAAGGUAUCAAUAUGGGUGUAUCGUCAGGGAUUUAUAGAUCAAUCCCAUCACUACUAUUUAGCCAUCAUUAUUAAACCUUUUGAGGUUGGGAAAAUCAGAAAUAGUUUUGGUUCCUUGGCAAUGUCCGUUAGAUUACCACCCAUUAGAAUUCUUAUGAAGUCUACUCUCGUCAAGACCCCAGAAAUGUCUCUAGUGACAAUACGGUGCUACGAAGAACAUCUUGGGACAAUCAUUUUGGUCCCUAAUAACACUAAUAUUUCCAAACGCACUAG
Molecule: long non-coding RNA, 653 nt
Filed under: Malus domestica (apple)
Lineage: Eukaryota; Viridiplantae; Streptophyta; Magnoliopsida; Rosales; Rosaceae
Description: long non-coding RNA (MDOM_LNC001666)
Source: RNAcentral